CGUUAUCACCACAACCCUGUUCCAGAUAAUGAGAAAACUUUGAGCUAAAGCUUAUCUAAAAAUAAAACCCAAUCUAUAGACUGCUGCAUUUUUAGCAUAGUUCUGCCUGCUGUUGAGGAGAACGAAGGACGAGAGUGCAGAGGGGUUGUUGCUGAGAAUUUCCUGUGUGCAAGCUGCCUUUAAGGUCUCCAUGGCAACAAUCAUCGAAAAACAAAGAUUUUUCAAAGGUGGUAGAAGAGAAACCACUUCCUGCUCUUCACCUGCAGCUCUCCCUUCAGGCUGCUGUCCUCCGAGUCCGACUGCUGGUCGGGGUCGUUCUCGUCACCCUGGAACACACAGAAGAACCAGGUUAAGUCCCGGCUCGGCGGCGUGCGGGAGGUCACGGAGAGGAAGUCUCGUACGUCUUGAGUCCAGAAGGACACGCCGGUGGAGCGCCGCUUCUCUCGGGGCCGCCUGCGAUCCCGAAUGGAGCGAGGUUGAUACUUGUCCUCUCCGUCCUUCUCGUCCUCCUUCUUGUCUGCUUCUGUCCAAAGAGAAGAAAACGAUCUGAGGAUUUUAAUAAUCAAAUGUGUCCAGGUUGAAGCUGAAAACCUUCAGACUCAACAUUUUGUUGCUGCGAUUUCCUACGUAAUGUUACGUAAUCACCCCACAAAAUUAAUUCAGUAUUGAUGAAAUAAAUAAAUACAUAAAAAACA
Long non-coding RNA from Oryzias melastigma (Indian medaka), 695 nucleotides. RefSeq lists it as uncharacterized. The record is from RefSeq and is a predicted model, not a curated record. NCBI's taxonomy places the organism in Eukaryota, Metazoa, Chordata, Actinopteri, Beloniformes, Adrianichthyidae. The transcript has 2 exons.